RNAcentral lists this long non-coding RNA (655 nucleotides) under Androctonus crassicauda. Lineage: Eukaryota; Metazoa; Arthropoda; Arachnida; Scorpiones; Buthidae. The record is from RNAcentral.
AAAAAUGAGGAAGAUUGUCCUGUCGGAGUGGUCUCCAAUGCUUGCGGAUGUUGCAAAGUUUGCGCAAAGGUCAUCAGCGUAUACAAACAUCUAAAGUGGAAAGGAAAUUGAUAAUUUAUCAUCAUAGACAAAGGAAAUGUUUAAGAGAAAUUAGAAAAAUAGUUAAUAGAAGUCACACGAAAGUAUAUAGUGUUAUCAAAAGAUAUAAAAAAGGACAAGGUAUUGAAAACAAAGAAAAAGUGCGUAUGAAUUUGACUAACUGAAGUAGACUCGUUCUUUUGGGGCCUCAUAAUGAUAUUGCUCCUAGGACCUCUAAAAGUAUAAAUGUAUAUAAAAUACAUAUUUUGCAAAUUGUAUGUAAUAAAGAGUACAGAUGUACAGCUAUACAAAAUGUGCACAUCAGAUGCACAAUUGUUCAAAAUAUAUGCAAAAUAUGUAUAAUAGAUAUACAGGUAUACACUUAGGCCUAUACAAAAUUUACACAAUAAGUGUACAGUUGUACAAAAUAUGCUCAAUAGUGUACAAUUAUUCAAAAUGCAAAAUAUGACAAUCGAAUUUAUUGAACACAUUUUUUUGAUGUGUCCAAUAAAUGUACAGUUGUACCAAAUGUAUACGAAAUGCAUAUAAUUUAACAAAAUAUGUGUAUGUCGGACCA